This 406-nucleotide ribosomal RNA is filed under the name uncultured bacterium. RNAcentral's name for it is "partial 16S ribosomal RNA". It matches the Rfam family "Bacterial small subunit ribosomal RNA", at positions 30 to 526 of the family's 1533-position model. The record is from RNAcentral.
AUUGAACGCUAGCGGGAUGCUUUACACAUGCAAGUCGAACGAGUGGCGGACGGGUGAGUAAUAUAUCGGAACGUGCCCAGUAGCGGGGGAUAACUACUGGAAACGGUAGCUAAUACCGCAUACCAUCAGAUGAACCCAUAUGGGAUUAGCUAGUAGGUAAGGUAACGGCUUACCUAGGCGACGAUCCCUAGCUGGUCUGAGAGGAUGAUAAGACAAACGGGGACUGAGAAACGGCCAAGACGCCUACGGGAGGCAGCAGGGGGGAAUAUUGCACAAUGGGCGCAAGCCUGAUGAAGCCAUGCCGCGUGUAUGAAGAAGGCCCUAGGGUGGUAAAGUACUGUCAGUCGGGAGGCGUGACCGACAGAAGAAGCACCGGCUAACUCCGUGCCAGCAGCCGCGGUAAUUC